UGGUGUGUCGAUAGCGCUGGGGAAACACCCGAUCCCAUCCCGAACUCGGCAGUUAAGUCCAGUUGCGGCGAAGGUAGUGCUUGGGAAACUAAGUGCAAGAAUAGCAAGAUGCACCAA
This 117-nucleotide ribosomal RNA is filed under the name Bdellovibrionales bacterium. RNAcentral also lists the same sequence under 1 other name. The record is from RNAcentral. Lineage: Bacteria; Pseudomonadati; Bdellovibrionota; Bdellovibrionia; Bdellovibrionales.